UGUGUGUGUGUGUGUGUGUGUGUAAGCCUCCACAGAUGGGUGUAAUUUGUGUGAGAUCGCUGACCUUGACUCUGUCAGCAGCCGUUACAGAGAAUCCGAGCUGAAAUAACAAACGAGAGAACAGAUCAGACGAGCAGGAAGAAGAACCCAAGCGGAACCCGUAACUCCGACGUUCUGCUGCAGUCUUUCCUCGCAGGCGUGAGCGUGGACGUGCGCGGCGUCAGUGAUGGACGUGAGACGGUGAAAUGCCAGCGCCGUGUUCCUCACAGCCAACGACAUUUUAAUUUAAGUGUCGAGUUCACAGCAGCAGGACACACAGUAAAGACAUUAGCAGCAGAUCCUAUAAGUCCUGUAAGUUGUGAGGUGGGGCCUCCAUGGAUCGGACUUGAUGUCCAGCACGUCCCACAGAUGCUCCAUCGGAUUGAGAUCUGGAGAAUUUGGAGGCCAAGUCAACACCUUGAACUCUCUGUCAUGUUCCUCAAACCAGGAGUGUUCUCCAGGGCAGAGAUGUUCUUCACAGCAGGAGCGUUCUUCAGGGCAGGAGCGUUCUUCAGGGCAGGGAGAAUGUAGAACCUCACAAGUGUUGCCCUAUCAGAGAAGGUUCCAUGUAGAACUCUUACAGAUGAACCUAUGAACCCUGUAACUGUUUCCCUAUCAGAGAAGAUUCCAAGUUCUAAGAAGUUCUAAACCCUCUCUUAUUAGAACACACCCAGUUAAUACACACACUCUCAGAACAAAAGGUUCUUUAAUGGUUCAUUGGAUAAUUAUGGGUUCUUCUUGGAACCCUUUCUGAUUGCGACACACUCUGUUGGGGAAAAGCAGACUCUUGGAUUCUAAAAGUAAAAUCUAAAUUCAGAAGGAUAUAAAUAAAAAUGUUGGAAUGAAGAUGUUCUGUAUAUAUAUAUAUAUAUUGUCUAACUGUUCCUUUAAGAACUUUUUGUUUGGUUAGAGAAGAUUACAUGGUGAGAAGAAGGUGAUGAAGAGAAGGAGCAGGUUCUGGGAAAAGGGCACGGUGGUCUGUAGCUGUUAUCACCUCGACAUGACUGAAAGCACCAGGAGCUCACCAGCUUCUAAUUAGCACCGCUGUUAGGAACCAACAGAACUCUGACCUGAGAUCAGCAUUAGUCUUUUCACUUUAAUGACUGAAGCUGAUUGGAGCAGAUCUGAGAUCAGUGUUAGCCAGGCCUGCUUCAAAGGACAUAUGUGUGUGUGUGUGUGUGUGUGCGUGUGCGUAUGUGUGUGUGUGUGUGUGUGUGAGAGUGAGAGAGAGAGAUGUAUAAUUGAAGGCUUCAUUGAGUUACAUGUAAAUAAAGCAAUCAAACAUGUGUGUAAAUAAGCAAACACACACACAAAGAGAAGAGAGGAAUUACAUCUUAAUGAUCAUUAUCUCUUUCACACACACACAUACACAGUCUCUCUCACACACACACACACACACACAUACACACACACACACACACACACACACAAAGUUUAGCCAACAUAAUAAAAUACUCUAGAUUAAAUUUCUCAUACUCAUUUAAUAGGAGGCAGAUUUUCACAGAUGUUCCAGAAAUCUCUAUUAUGUAAGAACAUAAUGCUGUGUGUGUGUGUGUGUGUGUGUGUGUGUGUGUGUCUGUGUGUGUGUGUGAGACUGUGUGUGUGUGUGUGUGUGUGUGUCUGUGUGUGUGUGAGACUGUGUG
Pangasianodon hypophthalmus (striped catfish) is the source of this 1682-nucleotide long non-coding RNA. RefSeq lists it as uncharacterized. Lineage: Eukaryota; Metazoa; Chordata; Actinopteri; Siluriformes; Pangasiidae. The transcript has 4 exons. The record is from RefSeq and is a predicted model, not a curated record.